CCUACGGGAGGCUGCAGUGAGGAAUAUUGGUCAAUGGACGAGAGUCUGAACCAGUCAAGUAGCGUGAAGGAUGACUGCCCUAUGGGUUGUAAACUUCUUUUAUAAAGGAAUAAAACGAGGCACGUGUGCCUUUUUGCAUGUACUUUAUGAAUAAGGCUCGGCUAACUCCGUGCAAGGAGCCGCGGUAAUACGGAGGGUGCGAGCGUUAAUCGGAAUUACUGGGCGUAAAGAGCUCGUAGGCGGUAUGUCAAGUCAACGGUGAAAUCCCCGCGCUCAGCGUGGGAACUGCCUGUGAAACUGGCUACCUGGAGUGUGUGAGAGGAUAGUGGAAUUCCAGGUGUAGGCGUGAAAUCCGGAGAUAUCUGGAGGAACAUCAGUGGCGAAGGCGACUAUCUGGCACAUAACUGACGCUGAGGAGCGAAAGCGUGGGUAGCAAACAGGAUUAGAUACCCCUGUAGUC
This 460-nucleotide ribosomal RNA is filed under the name uncultured bacterium. Its description in RNAcentral is "partial 16S ribosomal RNA". It matches the Rfam family "Bacterial small subunit ribosomal RNA", at positions 338 to 795 of the family's 1533-position model. The record is from RNAcentral.